Molecule: ribosomal RNA, 1287 nt
Filed under: Lactiplantibacillus pentosus
Lineage: Bacteria; Bacillati; Bacillota; Bacilli; Lactobacillales; Lactobacillaceae
Description: bacterial SSU rRNA
Rfam family: Bacterial small subunit ribosomal RNA
Source: RNAcentral
AACUGGUGAGUAACACGUGGGAAACCUGCCCAGAAGCGGGGGAUAACACCUGGAAACAGAUGCUAAUACCGCAUAACAACUUGGACCGCAUGGUCCGAGUUUGAAAGAUGGCUUCGGCUAUCACUUUUGGAUGGUCCCGCGGCGUAUUAGCUAGAUGGUGGGGUAACGGCUCACCAUGGCAAUGAUACGUAGCCGACCUGAGAGGGUAAUCGGCCACAUUGGGACUGAGACACGGCCCAAACUCCUACGGGAGGCAGCAGUAGGGAAUCUUCCACAAUGGACGAAAGUCUGAUGGAGCAACGCCGCGUGAGUGAAGAAGGGUUUCGGCUCGUAAAACUCUGUUGUUAAAGAAGAACAUAUCUGAGAGUAACUGUUCAGGUAUUGACGGUAUUUAACCAGAAAGCCACGGCUAACUACGUGCCAGCAGCCGCGGUAAUACGUAGGUGGCAAGCGUUGUCCGGAUUUAUUGGGCGUAAAGCGAGCGCAGGCGGUUUUUUAAGUCUGAUGUGAAAGCCUUCGGCUCAACCGAAGAAGUGCAUCGGAAACUGGGAAACUUGAGUGCAGAAGAGGACAGUGGAACUCCAUGUGUAGCGGUGAAAUGCGUAGAUAUAUGGAAGAACACCAGUGGCGAAGGCGGCUGUCUGGUCUGUAACUGACGCUGAGGCUCGAAAGUAUGGGUAGCAAACAGGAUUAGAUACCCUGGUAGUCCAUACCGUAAACGAUGAAUGCUAAGUGUUGGAGGGUUUCCGCCCUUCAGUGCUGCAGCUAACGCAUUAAGCAUUCCGCCUGGGGAGUACGGCCGCAAGGCUGAAACUCAAAGGAAUUGACGGGGGCCCGCACAAGCGGUGGAGCAUGUGGUUUAAUUCGAAGCUACGCGAAGAACCUUACCAGGUCUUGACAUACUAUGCAAAUCUAAGAGAUUAGACGUUCCCUUCGGGGACAUGGAUACAGGUGGUGCAUGGUUGUCGUCAGCUCGUGUCGUGAGAUGUUGGGUUAAGUCCCGCAACGAGCGCAACCCUUAUUAUCAGUUGCCAGCAUUAAGUUGGGCACUCUGGUGAGACUGCCGGUGACAAACCGGAGGAAGGUGGGGAUGACGUCAAAUCAUCAUGCCCCUUAUGACCUGGGCUACACACGUGCUACAAUGGAUGGUACAACGAGUUGCGAACUCGCGAGAGUAAGCUAAUCUCUUAAAGCCAUUCUCAGUUCGGAUUGUAGGCUGCAACUCGCCUACAUGAAGUCGGAAUCGCUAGUAAUCGCGGAUCAGCAUGCCGCGGUGAAUACGUUCCC